GUUGCGGUUAAAAAGCUCGUAGUUGGAUGUCUUGUUCUUGUUUACAAGGUGAGGAGGGUGAAAGCUCUCUUUGCUGCGUCGGAACAAUCGUUGUGCCCCCUUCGUCAAAACGGGGGGCACCCUUGACUUUGAAGAAAUCAAAUUGCUCCAGAAAUAUCGUGCGAUAGGAAUAGUCCAGCAUAGCAUCAAAAGAUAGAUCUUUUGGGUUCCUCGCCGCAAGGUGGGGAACACGUGCCCAGCUUUGGACCCUGACAACACACCACAAAGAAAUGAUCGAUAAGAAGCGUUGGGGGCGUUUGUAUUUCUCAAAUAGAGGUGAAAUUCUUGGACUUGAGAAAGACAGACGGAUGCGAAAGCGCUCGCCAAGAAGCUCUCUUUUAAUCAAGAACGAAAGUUGGAGGAUCAAAGACGAUCAGAUACCGUCGUAGUUUCAACUAUAAACGAUGCCAAUUGAGGGAUUUGUUUUUGUCUGUUUUCAUAGGACGAAAGAAGAACCCACGGGAAACUUGAAAUCUUCGGGUUCCGGGGGGAGUAUGGUCGCAAGACUGAAACUUAAAGGAAUUGACGGAAAGGCACCUCCAGGAGUGGAGCCUGGCUUAAUUUGACCCAACACGGGAAAACUUACCAGGUCCAGACACGCCAAGGAUUGACAGCUUACAGAGCUUUCUUGAUUGUGUGGGUAGUAGUGCAUGGCCGUUUUUAGUUGGUGGCGUGAGUUGUCUGCUUAAUUGCGUUAACGAACGAGACUUGAGUGUUGUUAAUUGUUUCUUGCUGGCGCGUUCCAGCGUGUGAGAGACACUUAAACAGACUAUCGGUGUUGAGCCGGUGGAAGCUUCAAGCAAUAACAGGUCCGUGAUGCUCUUCGAUGUUCUGGGCCGCACGCGCGCGACAGUGAUUAUGACAGUGUGCUCUGGUCCACGAGUGUAAAAUGCUCGUGGCGUGUAGGUCAGACAUGACCGACCAAUCAUACAAUCAUAGAUCGUCGUGGGGAUUGAAGUUUGCAAUUAUUCUUCAUCAACUUGGAAUUCCUUGUAUACGCACGUCAUCAACGUGCAUAGAAUACGACCCUGCCUUUUGUACACACCGCCCGUCGCUGCUACCGAUGUGUUGGUUGGUGAGGUUGUUGGAUUUCGAAGCUCCGGGCAACUGGGGUGGAGGGAGAAAACAAACGAACCUGUCUGCAUAGAGGAAGCAAAAGUCGUAACA
Molecule: ribosomal RNA, 1206 nt
Filed under: metagenome
Description: bacterial SSU rRNA
Rfam family: Eukaryotic small subunit ribosomal RNA
Source: RNAcentral